This 85-nucleotide transfer RNA is filed under the name Methylobacterium dankookense. Its description in RNAcentral is "tRNA-Gly". Lineage: Bacteria; Pseudomonadati; Pseudomonadota; Alphaproteobacteria; Hyphomicrobiales; Methylobacteriaceae. The record is from RNAcentral.
GUGGCGCCGGAGGUGGACGCCCUCGCCGGGGCCUUCCGCGCCCUGCGGGACGACGCGCUGGCCGCCCGGCUCGGCCGCGCCGCGC